GAUUAACGCUAGCGGCAGGCCUAAUACAUGCAAGUCGCACGGGAUUCAGGGUAGCAAUAUCUUGAUGAGAGUGGCGCACGGGUGCGUAACACGUAUGCAAUCUACCUUUAACUGGGGAAUAGCUCACCGAAAGGUGAAUUAAUACCGCAUAAAAUCAUAGAAGGACAUCCUUCAAUGAUUAAACCUACGGGGGUUAAAGAUGAGCAUGCGUCCGAUUAGCUAGUGGCGGGGUAACAGCCCACCAAGGCAACGAUCGGUAGGGGUC
This 265-nucleotide ribosomal RNA is filed under the name uncultured bacterium. RNAcentral describes it as "partial 16S ribosomal RNA". It matches the Rfam family "Bacterial small subunit ribosomal RNA", at positions 28 to 291 of the family's 1533-position model. The record is from RNAcentral.